AUAUGCCUGGCUCCCUGUAUGCCACUCGCGUAGCUGCCAACUCUCCAAACCCAGCGUUGGCUCUACCGCGGAUGGCGUGCGAGGAGCCAAGCAUGA
Molecule: non-coding RNA, 96 nt
Organism: Triticum urartu
Lineage: Eukaryota; Viridiplantae; Streptophyta; Magnoliopsida; Poales; Poaceae
Source: Rfam